This 210-nucleotide non-coding RNA is filed under the name Heterosigma akashiwo. Lineage: Eukaryota; Raphidophyceae; Chattonellales; Chattonellaceae. The record is from RNAcentral.
AAUGGAAAAAAAAAAUGAAAAAAAAAAUAUAUAUGUAUAUGUCUUCUUCUUAAUUUCUUGUUUUUGUCUUCUUCUUAGUUUCUUGUUAUCUAUAAAGAGAAAGAAGAAGAACCAUCAGGCCCUCAUAGCUACACUUUAAUCAUUUUAUUAUUUUGAUGAUGAGGAUGAUAUUACUACUACUAGUUGUGACAUCUCCAAAUAAUUAAAAAU